Small nucleolar RNA from Macaca fascicularis (crab-eating macaque), 130 nucleotides. The record is from Ensembl. Lineage: Eukaryota; Metazoa; Chordata; Mammalia; Primates; Cercopithecidae.
AUCCUUUUGCAGUUCAUAAGCAUGAUGUUUGGGUUUUCAAAUGCUUUGAAAACUUUGCUUUGGGUUUUCAGAUGCUUCUGUGAGAAGUACCUUCCUCAAACCCUGUUACAAUGGUGGCUCACAUCUGUAA